This 1068-nucleotide long non-coding RNA is filed under the name Homo sapiens (human). RNAcentral describes it as "non-protein coding lnc-TMEM240-2:1". The record is from RNAcentral. Lineage: Eukaryota; Metazoa; Chordata; Mammalia; Primates; Hominidae.
AGCGGCGAAGCAUCUGGCUACGGGAGCCACGCCGGGACAAAAUUCCCGAGGGACGUAGGCGAACCCAAGGCAGCGUCAGCCCCGCGCCGCAUCCGCGUGGGCUCCGUUGCUAGGGGCUCCGUUGCUAGGGGCUCCGAGGAGUUCCGGCCUUGGCGGCAGCGGGUGGCAAGUUUCCAGGGAGCCCCAAGGUUCUCGAUCCGUGCGGCGGGGCGCCCUGCGGUGAGUCCAGGACGCAGAGAAGAGUCUCGCGGGAACCUCACCCGAGGCGGCACCGGCGCCCGGGCAAGCCGAGCCCUUCCGCGAUGAGUCGGCGCCCUGGGGUCGCUGCGCCAAGAGCUCAGGAGAGGCGCCUCCCCUCCUCGGUGUCUCCGCAGCCCGCACGGCCCUCCCGCCCAAGACCCCGGGGCGACCCCUUCCCGCGUGGCGGGGCCAGCGAGCUCCUCUUGCGGGGCGUGGACGGGGCCGGGGUGCCCGGGCAGGCGCCGCCCCGGAGCCCACGGUCCACGCGCUCCCAGCGGCCCUGACUUUCUCCUUGAUGGAACUGGUUGACUUCACGGAAUAUAUGGAGUGACUUUUCCCACUGGAUUGGAAACUGUUUUAAGCCUGAAUAAUGUUAGAUACAAUGAGUUCUAAACUUCCCUUCAAAGAAUCAGUAUAUCAGUAUGUUCAGUCUUUGUCCUGCAUUUUAAAGUCUACCUUCCUCGCAGUUUCAGUAAACAACCUUUUCCACCAGUUCUAGUCAGUAGUUGACAUCUGUUGCCCUGGUCACCUGCUCCGUCCUAACUAAUCCCGGUCUCCUGCUUUGACCUGAGUCACCUUUAGUUACCUGUCCCAUAACCAUUUUUCCCGCCAAACCACUCACCCCGCCACUCUGGCCCAUACUCCUGCUCCCUUUAAAAUAGCCAAUGGGCACUAGUUUAGACUGUGCAUUCUAACCCUAGCCAAUAGGGGAACCACACAGCAGUAGGGGCUACCCGCGUCAGGAAUAAGAACCCCUUCCCCUCCCUUGUCCAAGCGCUCGCCAUUGCUCCAUCUAUGAGAUAACCCCUUCCCCUCCCUUGUCCAAGC